AAAAACCCCACAAAGAAUUGUUAUACCCUCUUCAUCAAUUUACUGCUUUAGAAUUAUGAAAGACCUUUUUAUCAUUUUGAUCUGAAAUCUACUUUUUCUAAUAUGAAUACAGCUACUCCAGGUUUCUUUUGAUUAGUGUGAACAUGGUGUAUCUUUUCCUAUACUUUCUCAGAGUAGUCUGUUCUCAGGCCAAGCUUGCUUCCUCCUCUGCCAUAAGGUGAGCCACCUCUACCUGCCUGGAGAUCAACCUGCGGUCAUCCAGUUCCGCCAGUGCCUGGCUGGAGCUAUAAGUUGGUGCUGUUCGCCAGGGUUGGUGUCUGCAGAGGGCCAGGGGAAUUCCAAGCGAGGGAAGCAAGGAGAGCUUCUUGGACUCCUCAAGUUCUACCAGGAGGCAGUGCUAUGGUGUGCCCAACCCUCCCAGAGGCCUAAGUGGCCGCCCUCUUAGGAAUGCACAAAGCAUCUGCUAUUUAGGACUUGGUUACAGAGCACCAUCAGCUUCCCCAAGGUAAGCCAGCAUUGGCUUCCAGGCCAUUUAAUUUACAUCUUAAUUUUGCUCAU
This 558-nucleotide long non-coding RNA is filed under the name Rhinopithecus bieti (black snub-nosed monkey). Its description in RNAcentral is "lncRNA (ENSRBIG00000045254.1)". The record is from RNAcentral. Lineage: Eukaryota; Metazoa; Chordata; Mammalia; Primates; Cercopithecidae.